Molecule: long non-coding RNA, 171 nt
Organism: Octopus sinensis (East Asian common octopus)
Lineage: Eukaryota; Metazoa; Mollusca; Cephalopoda; Octopoda; Octopodidae
Exons: 3
Source: RefSeq, a predicted model, not a curated record
ACUUUUUCUGUCGAGGGCUUAUAUGCCCCAUUAUUAAACUAUUUUCUUUAGUCAUUGCGCGGUGAUCGCUAUAAGUUUUAAGCUUGUAAAAUAUUAUUAUUAUUAUUUACAGAAUUGUAAAAAUCGACAUUGCUUAACAAAACCAUCGCAUGCACACACACACACACACAC